GAGCGGAUGAAGGGAGCUUGCUCCCGGAUUCAGCGGCGGACGGGUGAGUAAUGCCUAGGAAUCUGCCUGGUAGUGGGGGACAACGUUUCGAAAGGAACGCUAAUACCGCAUACGUCCUACGGGAGAAAGCAGGAGACCUUCGGGCCUUGCGCUAUCAGAUGAGCCUAGGUCGGAUUAGCUAGUUGGUGAGGUAAUGGCUCACCAAGGCGACGAUCCGUAACUGGUCUGAGAGGAUGAUCAGUCACACUGGAACUGAGACACGGUCCAGACUCCUACGGGAGGCAGCAGUGGGGAAUAUUGGACAAUGGGCGAAAGCCUGAUCCAGCCAUGCCGCGUGUGUGAAGAAGGUCUUCGGAUUGUAAAGCACUUUAAGUUGGGAGGAAGGGUUGUAGAUUAAUACUCUGCAAUUUUGACGUUACCGACAGAAUAAGCACCGGCUAACUCUGUG
RNAcentral lists this ribosomal RNA (448 nucleotides) under uncultured bacterium. RNAcentral's name for it is "bacterial SSU rRNA". It matches the Rfam family "Bacterial small subunit ribosomal RNA", at positions 64 to 507 of the family's 1533-position model. The record is from RNAcentral.